CCUUGCAGCCAUUGCCAUUGCUCCCUUGCGCCUGUCACCUAAAGUCGCCGAUUGCUUAUCAUCCCAGUGAGGAAUAUGAAGAGUUCUUUUCACACAGUGUAGUGUACACAAGUCAGUCGCUGGUUGUUGAGUCUGUAUCUGAAGCCAUGGAGGAGGACUUGCCUACCGCCUUUCUGCCACGUGAAGUUGUGUGAGUUGGGUGGAUUUGUCGGUGGUGGAUCUGGCUGAGCUGAGGGGUGGUCAGGUAGUCUUUAUUGUUGGUUGAUCGUAGUGUUGAGUUGGAUGAUGAUGAUGAUGAUGAUGAUGAUGAUGAUAUGUAGAAGAUGUUCCCUAUUAUUCCCUGUAGGCGUGUGUCACUGUAGGCAUUAGUAGACCUGACCAGUCAAUAUACUC
Molecule: unclassified non-coding RNA, 393 nt
Filed under: Haliotis rufescens (red abalone)
Lineage: Eukaryota; Metazoa; Mollusca; Gastropoda; Lepetellida; Haliotidae
Description: uncharacterized LOC125383188, transcript variant X4
Source: RNAcentral